AGAGUUUGAUCCUGGCUCAGAUUGAACGCUGGCGGCAGGCUUAACACAUGCAAGUCGAGCGGAAACGAGUUAUCUGAACCUUCGGGGAACGAUAACGGCGUCGAGCGGCGGACGGGUGAGUAAUGCCUAGGAAAUUGCCCUGAUGUGGGGGAUAACCAUUGGAAACGAUGGCUAAUACCGCAUGAUGCCUACGGGCCAAAGAGGGGGACCUUCGGGCCUCUCGCGUCAGGAUAUGCCUAGGUGGGAUUAGCUAGUUGGUGAGGUAAGGGCUCACCAAGGCGACGAUCCCUAGCUGGUCUGAGAGGAUGAUCAGCCACACUGGAACUGAGACACGGUCCAGACUCCUACGGGAGGCAGCAGUGGGGAAUAUUGCACAAUGGGCGCAAGCCUGAUGCAGCCAUGCCGCGUGUGUGAAGAAGGCCUUCGGGUUGUAAAGCACUUUCAGUCGUGAGGAAGGUAGUGUAGUUAAUAGCUGCAUUAUUUGACGUUAGCGACAGAAGAAGCACCGGCUAACUCCGUGCCAGCAGCCGCGGUAAUACGGAGGGUGCGAGCGUUAAUCGGAAUUACUGGGCGUAAAGCGCAUGCAGGUGGUUUGUUAAGUCAGAUGUGAAAGCCCGGGGCUCAACCUCGGAAUAGCAUUUGAAACUGGCAGACUAGAGUACUGUAGAGGGGGGUAGAAUUUCAGGUGUAGCGGUGAAAUGCGUAGAGAUCUGAAGGAAUACCGGUGGCGAAGGCGGCCCCCUGGACAGAUACUGACACUCAGAUGCGAAAGCGUGGGGAGCAAACAGGAUUAGAUACCCUGGUAGUCCACGCCGUAAACGAUGUCUACUUGGAGGUUGUGGCCUUGAGCCGUGGCUUUCGGAGCUAACGCGUUAAGUAGACCGCCUGGGGAGUACGGUCGCAAGAUUAAAACUCAAAUGAAUUGACGGGGGCCCGCACAAGCGGUGGAGCAUGUGGUUUAAUUCGAUGCAACGCGAAGAACCUUACCUACUCUUGACAUCCAGAGAACUUUCCAGAGAUGGAUUGGUGCCUUCGGGAACUCUGAGACAGGUGCUGCAUGGCUGUCGUCAGCUCGUGUUGUGAAAUGUUGGGUUAAGUCCCGCAACGAGCGCAACCCUUAUCCUUGUUUGCCAGCGAGUAAUGUCGGGAACUCCAGGGAGACUGCCGGUGAUAAACCGGAGGAAGGUGGGGACGACGUCAAGUCAUCAUGGCCCUUACGAGUAGGGCUACACACGUGCUACAAUGGCGCAUACAGAGGGCGGCCAACUUGCGAAAGUGAGCGAAUCCCAAAAAGUGCGUCGUAGUCCGGAUUGGAGUCUGCAACUCGACUCCAUGAAGUCGGAAUCGCUAGUAAUCGUGGAUCAGAAUGCCACGGUGAAUACGUUCCCGGGCCUUGCACACACCGCCCGUC
RNAcentral lists this ribosomal RNA (1411 nucleotides) under Vibrio sp. LS193. RNAcentral describes it as "bacterial SSU rRNA". It matches the Rfam family "Bacterial small subunit ribosomal RNA". The record is from RNAcentral. Lineage: Bacteria; Pseudomonadati; Pseudomonadota; Gammaproteobacteria; Vibrionales; Vibrionaceae.